This 1372-nucleotide ribosomal RNA is filed under the name uncultured bacterium. RNAcentral's name for it is "bacterial SSU rRNA". It matches the Rfam family "Bacterial small subunit ribosomal RNA", at positions 28 to 1381 of the family's 1533-position model. The record is from RNAcentral.
GAUGAACGCUGGCGGCGUGCCUAAUACGUGCAAGUCGAGCGAACGGACGAGAAGCUUGCUUCUCUGAUGUUAGCGGCGGACGGGUGAGUAACACGUGGAUAACCUACCUAUAAGACUGGGAUAACUUCGGGAAACCGGAGCUAAUACCGGAUAAUAUUUUGAACCGCAUGGUUCAAAAGUGAAAGACGGUCUUGCUGUCACUUAUAGAUGGAUCCGCGCUGCAUUAGCUAGUUGGUAAGGUAACGGCUUACCAAGGCAACGAUGCAUAGCCGACCUGAGAGGGUGAUCGGCCACACUGGAACUGAGACACGGUCCAGACUCCUACGGGAGGCAGCAGUAGGGAAUCUUCCGCAAUGGGCGAAAGCCUGACGGAGCAACGCCGCGUGAGUGAUGAAGGUCUUCGGAUCGUAAAACUCUGUUAUUAGGGAAGAACAUAUGUGUAAGUAACUGUGCACAUCUUGACGGUACCUAAUCAGAAAGCCACGGCUAACUACGUGUCAGCAGCCGCGGUAAUACGUAGGUGGCAAGCGUUAUCCGGAAUUAUUGGGCGUAAAGCGCGCGUAGGCGGUUUUUUAAGUCUGAUGUGAAAGCCCACGGCUCAACCGUGGAGGGUCAUUGGAAACUGGAAAACUUGAGUGCAGAAGAGGAAAGUGGAAUUCCAUGUGUAGCGGUGAAAUGCGCAGAGAUAUGGAGGAACACCAGUGGCGAAGGCGACUUUCUGGUCUGUAACUGACGCUGAUGUGCGAAAGCGUGGGGAUCAAACAGGAUUAGAUACCCUGGUAGUCCACGCCGUAAACGAUGAGUGCUAAGUGUUAGGGGGUUUCCGCCCCUUAGUGCUGCAGCUAACGCAUUAAGCACUCCGCCUGGGGAGUACGACCGCAAGGUUGAAACUCAAAGGAAUUGACGGGGACCCGCACAAGCGGUGGAGCAUGUGGUUUAAUUCGAAGCAACGCGAAGAACCUUACCAAAUCUUGACAUCCUUUGACAGCUCUAGAGAUAGAGCCUUCCCCUUCGGGGGACAAAGUGACAGGUGGUGCAUGGUUGUCGUCAGCUCGUGUCGUGAGAUGUUGGGUUAAGUCCCGCAACGAGCGCAACCCUUAAGCUUAGUUGCCAUCAUUAAGUUGGGCACUCUAAGUUGACUGCCGGUGACAAACCGGAGGAAGGUGGGGAUGACGUCAAAUCAUCAUGCCCCUUAUGAUUUGGGCUACACACGUGCUACAAUGGACAAUACAAAGGGCAGCGAAACCGCGAGGUCAAGCAAAUCCCAUAAAGUUGUUCUCAGUUCGGAUUGUAGUCUGCAACUCGACUACAUGAAGCUGGAAUCGCUAGUAAUCGUAGAUCAGCAUGCUACGGUGAAUACGUUCCCGGGUCU